Molecule: ribosomal RNA, 682 nt
Filed under: uncultured bacterium
Lineage: Bacteria
Description: bacterial SSU rRNA
Rfam family: Bacterial small subunit ribosomal RNA
Source: RNAcentral
AACGAACGCUGGCGGCAGGCCUAACACAUGCAAGUCGAGCGCUGUAGCAAUACAGAGCGGCGCACGGGUGAGUAACGCGUGGGAACGUGCCCAACGGUUCGGAAUAACUCAGGGAAACUUGUGCUAAUACCGAAUACGCCUCACGGGGAAAGAUUUAUCGCCGAUGGAGCGGCCCGCGUCCGAUUAGCUUGUUGGUGAGGUAAAAGCUUACCAAGGCGACGAUCGGUAGCUGGUUUGAGAGAACGAUCAGCCACACUGGGACUGAGACACGGCCCAGACUCCUACGGGAGGCAGCAGUGGGGAAUCUUGGACAAUGGGGGAAACCCUGAUCCAGCCAUGCCGCGUGAGUGAUGAAGGCCCCUAGGGUUGUAGAACUCUUUCGGCGGGGACGAUAAUGACGGUACCCGCAGAAGAAGCUCCGGCUAACUUCGUGCCAGCAGCCGCGGUAAUACGAAGGGGGUUUAGCGUUGUUCGGAAUUACUGGGCGUAAAGCGCGCGCAGGCGGUUCUUCAAGUCAGUGGUGAAAGCCCAGAGCUCAACUCUGGAAUUGCCUCUGAGACUGUAGGACUUGGGUUCGGGAGAGGUGAGUGGCAUUCCGAGUGUAGAGGUGAAAUUCGUAGAUAUUCGGAAGAACACCAGUGGCGAAGGCGGCUCACUGGCCCGAUACCGACGCUCAGGCGCG